AGUGAACGCUGGCGGUAGGCCUAAUACAUGCAAGUCGAACGGAAGGACGAUAAGAGCUCUCCUUUACGGGUGGCGAGUGGCGGACGGGUGAGACAUACAUAGGCAUCUACUUAUUCGUGGGGGACUUCGUAGGGAAAGUUAUGCUACUAGCGCAUAUGAUCUACGGGUGAAAGCAGGAGUUCUUGGGAGUUUGCGUGUUACUAUGAGAUGGAGUCGGAUUAGCUAGUUGGCGGGGUAAGGGCACACCAAGGCAACGAUGCGUAGCCGAUCUGAGAGGGUGAUCGGCCACACUGGAACUGAGACACGGUCCAGACUCCUACGGGAGGCAGCAGUGGGGAAUAUUGGGCAAUGGGCGCAAGCCUGACCCAGCCAUGCCGCGUGAGUGAUGAAGGCCUUCGGAUCGUAAAACCCUUUUAUUAGGAAAGAAAAUCUGUGUAAGAAAAUCCCGCUAUUCUGACGGUACCCAAAGAGAAAGCACCGGCUAACUUCGUG
This 492-nucleotide ribosomal RNA is filed under the name uncultured bacterium. RNAcentral's name for it is "partial 16S ribosomal RNA". It matches the Rfam family "Bacterial small subunit ribosomal RNA", at positions 29 to 507 of the family's 1533-position model. The record is from RNAcentral.